This 1287-nucleotide ribosomal RNA is filed under the name Triticum aestivum (bread wheat). RNAcentral's name for it is "partial small subunit ribosomal RNA". Lineage: Eukaryota; Viridiplantae; Streptophyta; Magnoliopsida; Poales; Poaceae. The record is from RNAcentral.
AUGGCGCGGGCGCGGCUGGUGAAAGAGCGCCCCGCGAGCACGCCGGCGGACCGGAGGCGGCCGAUCCACUUUGCCGCCUUCCUGCUGCUCGCCGACGCCGCGCUCGUCGCCCUCAUCGUCGCCUUCGUCCCCUAUACCAAGAUCGACUGGGACGCCUACAUGUCUCAGGUGGACGCUUUUCGGGAGGGGGAGAGGGACUACACCAAGAUCGAGGGCGACACCGGGCCGCUGGUCUACCCGGCCGGCUUCCUCUACGUCUACUCCGCCAUCAAGUUCCUCACUGCAGGCCAAGUGUUCCCUGCUCAGAUUCUGUUCGGCGUCUUGUACCUUGUCAACAUGAGCCUUGUUCUGCUGCUCUACGUCAAGACUGAAGUGCUUCCUUGGUGGGCUUUAGGUUUGCUUUGCUUAUCAAAGCGAGUUCACUCCAUCUUUGUGCUCCGUCUUUUCAACGAUUGCGUUGCCAUGACGUUGCUCCAUGCUGCUAUGGUCUUGAUUGUCUAUCACAAGUGGUACCUCGGCCUAAUUAUUUUCAGUGGAGCUGUCUCAGUUAAGAUGAACGUGCUCCUUUUUGCUCCAUCUUUGUUUCUACUAAUGUUGAAGGCCAUGAGUAUCAAAGGAGUUUUUCUUGCUUUGUUGGGAGCUGCAGGAGUACAGGUUUUGUUGGGUAUCCCAUUCUUAUUGUCGCAUCCUGUUGAGUACAUCUCAAGAGCUUUCAAUCUUGGGCGUGUCUUCAUCCAUUUCUGGUCUGUCAACUUUAAGUUUGUUCCUGAGAAGUAUUUUGUAUCAAAAGAGCUAGCUAUUGGGUUAUUGAUUUUUCACCUCACUACUCUUAUGGUGUUUGCACACUACAAGUGGUUUAAGCAUGAAGGUGGUUUGUUCCAUUUUGUGCAUUCCAGAUUUAGAGAUGCUACAUCAAUUCAACAGCUCAUUUCGUGCAAGCCCAGACAGUCCAUUCUCAGUAAAGAGCAUAUUGUGACUGUGAUGUUUGUUGGAAACUUCAUUGGCAUUGUGUGUGCCCGUUCAUUACAUUACCAGUUUUAUUCUUGGUACUUCUAUUCAUUGCCUUUUCUGUUGUGGAGAACAAAGUUUCCAACAGUAGUAAGGAUAAUUUUAUUUGUUGCCGUCGAGCUCUGCUGGAACGUUUAUCCUUCUACCGCCUAUUCGUCACUACUUCUGUUGUUCGCGCACCUCUUCAUCUUGUUCGGCCUAUGGAGUUCGCCUGCCGAGUACCCCUAUGUCGAUAAAAAGGAAAAGGCGGACAGUAAAGAAUCGGGCAAGGCAAUGUGA